This is a long non-coding RNA of Gasterosteus aculeatus aculeatus (three-spined stickleback), 1314 nucleotides long. The record is from Ensembl. NCBI's taxonomy places the organism in Eukaryota, Metazoa, Chordata, Actinopteri, Perciformes, Gasterosteidae.
CUUCUGCAAACAUUGAAUUUGUUUGAGCGAUGUUAUGAAAGGUAAUCCAUCACACGGUCUGAAUUGAAUAGCGCACGUAGGAAAACGGAGGGACUCGUUUAAUCAAUUUCCGGUACGGGCAUUUUUUCAUUCCCAUUUUAACAAGCUCAGCACCCACCAUGAACCAUCUGUACGACAGUAAGUCAAAGGGCAUCUGCAGGAAGCCACAGCAGCGAGCAGGAGUUCAAUCAUCGAGGGAGAGCUAGCAUGUCGAGCAUUUAGAUGCUGUUGUACACAGUCGCCGGGUCAUGGAGCAAUGUACUCAAAGGAACAGCAGAGGGCGGUGUUCAACAGGAUAUGGAAACAAUAGUUUGACAGAUGUGGAGGAAAACGCCGUCCCGUCAUGGAAAGUCCGACCCGACGCUCCGAAGGGGGGAAGCAGGCGUCUCUUCAAAGAGUGAGACAUCACUCAGCCCAUUUAAAAAAGCAAAAAACAAAACAGGUGCAACUCUAAAGGAGACGCUUUGAUUUAUGGCCAAUUGUGGACAUCCUUGUUGCGUCACUUAUUUUCGUGGGACUCCUCCUCUUUCCUCCGACGGGCCAGAAGAAGCGGCCCAUUACUCACAGCAGAUAACCAGAGCUGUAGACAUCACACCAAUUACCCGAAACCUCAAAAGUUCUCAAGUCAUCCAACACACUUAGUUCAACUUCUCCCAAACCCGCUAAUGCCCCUCGCCGUCCAAAUCACCGAGGGCUUGCCCCCCAAUUAGCUGCCUCCCGUGACACCCUGACGCCGCGCCGCAUCGGGAUUGUGCUUCAGCUUCAAUUACUUCUAAAGCCCUUCAGGCAGAGGUGAUGGGUCUCCCCCGCCCCUCGGGGCAGCUGUCUCCGCGCCUGUUCUUCUUUUGAUGGGGGGGGGGGUGUCAGAGGACGGUCCGGCGUCGUGUCUCAGGAACGGGAGAGACGAGUGCUGCUCCGAUUUAACUUGACGGAUGAUCACUAAGAUAAAUAACGUGAAUUAUUCAACUAAAGCCAACAUCAUAACUAAAUCAGUUCAGUGUUCUAUUUAUCUCGCAUCUCAGUCUUGAAUGGAUCCAGGCCGGCCGGGUUCUUCCUCUCCUGUCCUGUGAUCAUCUUCGUCAUCGGCCCUGCAGAUGUAACUGGGAUGUCCCUUUUUAGGACUCUAAAUGUCGUUGUGACAACGUAACAUAAGAGUUGAUGCGCAGUCUAACUAUCAGUGCUGAUUAAUUCAUCCAGCAGCUCGAUGGAGGAAUCCUGAUGAUCAGUUUCAAGGCAUAUUAGCUGAAAUAAAGCCCAUUUAAAAAUCGACUCUUC